This 357-nucleotide ribosomal RNA is filed under the name uncultured bacterium. Its description in RNAcentral is "partial 16S ribosomal RNA". It matches the Rfam family "Bacterial small subunit ribosomal RNA", at positions 338 to 693 of the family's 1533-position model. The record is from RNAcentral.
CCUACGGGAGGCAGCAGUGAGGAAUAUUGGUCAAUGGGCGAGAUCCUGAACCAGCCAAGCCGCGUGAGGGAAGACGGCCCUAUGGGUUGUAAACCUCUUUUGUCGGAGAACAAAACCCGGGACGUGUAUCGGACUGCGUGUAUCCGAAGCAAAAGCAUAGGCUAACUCCGUGCCAGCAGCCGCGGUAAUACGGAGGAUGCGAGCUUUAUCCGGAUUUAUUGGGUUAAAAGGGUGCGUGGGCGGUCCGUUAAGGUCGCGGUAAAGUUGCGGGGCUCAACCCCGUCGAGCCGUUGAAACUGGCAGACUUGAGUUGGCGGAAAGUACGCGGAAUGCGCGGUGUAGCGGUGAAAUGCAUAG